GCGGGAGGCGGUGGGCGUGGCCGCGCCGCUCCCGUCCCCGCCGGCGGCGCCAAACUCUAAAUUUACAGCGGACUGUACGUUCUGAUUUACAAUAAAAACAAGUUAAAACUUUCAACAACGGAUCUCUUGGUUCUGGCAUCGAUGAAGAACGCAGCGAAAUGCGAUAAGUAAUGUGAAUUGCAGAAUUCAGUGAACCAUCGAAUCUUUGAACGCACAUUGCGCCCGGCAGUAAUCUGCCGGGCAUGCCUGUCCGAGCGUCAUUUCUGCCCUCGAGCGAGUCCAGCAUCUAGGUGCUGGGCCUCGCCCGGCGUUGGGGCACUACGGGAAGCCCUGUGCUGUCCCCCGUAGGCCCCGAAAUGAAGUGGCGGUCCUGCCGCGGCGCCCCCUGCGUAGUAUAACAGCUCGCUUCGGGACCCGGUGGAGGCCUGCCGUCAAACCUAUACUCUCUAAGUUUGACCUCGGAUCAGGUAGGGUUACCCGCUGAACUUAAGCAUAUCAA
RNAcentral lists this ribosomal RNA (499 nucleotides) under Cephalotrichum dendrocephalum. Its description in RNAcentral is "eukaryotic LSU rRNA". The stretch from base 107 to 260 matches the Rfam family "5.8S ribosomal RNA". Lineage: Eukaryota; Fungi; Ascomycota; Sordariomycetes; Microascales; Microascaceae. The record is from RNAcentral.